This 485-nucleotide long non-coding RNA is filed under the name Ornithorhynchus anatinus (platypus). RNAcentral describes it as "lncRNA (ENSOANG00000040711.1)". Lineage: Eukaryota; Metazoa; Chordata; Mammalia; Monotremata; Ornithorhynchidae. The record is from RNAcentral.
AUGACGGAGAAGGGAAUGGGCCGUGGGGCCGGGGGCUUGGGGGGGGGGGGGGCGCAAGGGGAGUGGGUUGGUGCCCCGGGGUCCGGCGGGGCGUGCCCCCUCUCCCGUCCCCCCUCGGCCGCCGGGCGGUCCCCGGGGGGAGGCCGCCCCGCGGUGCCACCCGCGCCCAGACGGUCACGCUCGCUCCCGCAGCCCCGCGCCCGGACUCGGCGGCGGGCGGGCCCGGGACCGGCCCGGGGCUCCGGCGGCGGCGGGGUCCCCCGGCCGGCCCCGCGGGGAUCCCCCGCCGUUCAGGGGGAGCCCACUCCUCGGAGCGCUCUUCGCCGCCGACGCCUCCCCGGACGAAGACGACGCCAGCGACCUCACCCACGGCUUCGGCCACAUCCUCUGUGGGAAUCCUAUCAAGGCCCUUCACGAGCGACGGCAGAAACUGAAGGUUCCUGGAAAUCAUUCAGGGGGAGAAAGAGAAGGAGGAAAAAGAGGAG